RNAcentral lists this unclassified non-coding RNA (83 nucleotides) under [Bacillus] enclensis. RNAcentral describes it as "Bacillus enclensis GEMM cis-regulatory element". It matches the Rfam family "c-di-GMP-I riboswitch aptamer". From Rfam's summary of the family: GEMM was predicted in a large-scale screen for bacterial structured RNA regulatory elements. Lineage: Bacteria; Bacillati; Bacillota; Bacilli; Caryophanales; Bacillaceae. The record is from RNAcentral.
GUCAGACAAAGGCAAACUUAUUGAAAAAUAGGGACGCAAAGUCACAGAUCUAAGGUAGGAAAAUGAGUACAUCGAAUACAGAC